This 465-nucleotide ribosomal RNA is filed under the name Vreelandella stevensii. RNAcentral's name for it is "partial 16S ribosomal RNA". It matches the Rfam family "Bacterial small subunit ribosomal RNA", at positions 338 to 795 of the family's 1533-position model. Lineage: Bacteria; Pseudomonadati; Pseudomonadota; Gammaproteobacteria; Oceanospirillales; Halomonadaceae. The record is from RNAcentral.
CCUACGGGCGGCAGCAGUGGGGAAUAUUGGACAAUGGGGGCAACCCUGAUCCAGCCAUGCCGCGUGUGUGAAGAAGGCCCUCGGGUUGUAAAGCACUUUCAGUGAGGAAGAACGCCUGGUGGUUAAUACCCAUCAGGAAAGACAUCACUCACAGAAGAAGCACCGGCUAACUCCGUGCCAGCAGCCGCGGUAAUACGGAGGGUGCGAGCGUUAAUCGGAAUUACUGGGCGUAAAGCGCGCGUAGGUGGCUUGAUAAGCCGGUUGUGAAAGCCCCGGGCUCAACCUGGGAACGGCAUCCGGAACUGUCAAGCUAGAGGGCAGGAGAGGAAGGUAGAAUUCCCGGUGUAGCGGUGAAAUGCGUAGAGAUCGGGAGGAAUACCAGUGGCGAAGGCGGCCUUCUGGACUGACACUGACACUGAGGUGCGAAAGCGUGGGUAGCAAACAGGAUUAGAUACCCUUGUAGUC